UCUCGUCCUCCGUGAGUGUUGUGCGC
This 26-nucleotide non-coding RNA is filed under the name Bombyx mori (domestic silkworm). The record is from RNAcentral. Lineage: Eukaryota; Metazoa; Arthropoda; Insecta; Lepidoptera; Bombycidae.